Pteropus alecto (black flying fox) is the source of this 73-nucleotide non-coding RNA. The record is from Rfam. Lineage: Eukaryota; Metazoa; Chordata; Mammalia; Chiroptera; Pteropodidae.
AGUUCCAUAGUGUAGUGGUUAGCACAUCUGCUUUACACACAGAAGGUACAGGGUUCAUGCCCCAGUAGAGUCA